This 253-nucleotide ribosomal RNA is filed under the name uncultured bacterium. RNAcentral's name for it is "partial 16S ribosomal RNA". It matches the Rfam family "Bacterial small subunit ribosomal RNA", at positions 524 to 776 of the family's 1533-position model. The record is from RNAcentral.
UACGUAGGUGGCAAGCGUUGUCCGGAAUUACUGGGCGUAAAGCGUGCGCAGGCGGUUAUAUAAGACAGUUGUGAAAUCCCCGGGCUCAACCUGGGAACUGCAUCUGUGACUGUAUAGCUAGAGUACGGUAGAGGGGGAUGGAAUUCCGCGUGUAGCAGUGAAAUGCGUAGAUAUGCGGAGGAACACCGAUGGCGAAGGCAAUCCCCUGGACCUGUACUGACGCUCAUGCACGAAAGCGUGGGGAGCAAACAGG